GAUGAACGCUAGCGGCAGGCCUAAUACAUGCAAGUCGGACGGGAUUUGGGAGCUUGCUCCCAAUGAGAGUGGCGCACGGGUGCGUAACACGUAUGUAACCUACCUUAAUCAGGGGGAUAGCCUCUCGAAAGAGAGAUUAACACCGCAUAACAUAUUUUUAUGGCAUCGUAGAAAUAUCAAAUAUUUAUAGGAUUAAGAUGGGCAUGCGGAACAUUAGCUAGUUGGUAAGGUAACGGCUUACCAAGGCUACGAUGUUUAGGGGAUCUGAGAGGAUGACCCCCCACACUGGUACUGAGACACGGACCAGACUCCUACGGGAGGCAGCAGUAAGGAAUAUUGGUCAAUGGGCGCAAGCCUGAACCAGCCAUGCCGCGUGCAGGAAGACGGCCCUAUGGGUUGUAAACUGCUUUUGUACCGGAAUAAACCCUUUUACGUGUAAAAGGCUGAAUGUACGGUAAGAAUAAGGAUCGGCUAACUCCGUGCCAGCCGCCGCCGUAA
Molecule: ribosomal RNA, 498 nt
Filed under: uncultured bacterium
Lineage: Bacteria
Description: partial 16S ribosomal RNA
Rfam family: Bacterial small subunit ribosomal RNA
Source: RNAcentral